Long non-coding RNA from Pezoporus flaviventris, 1174 nucleotides. RefSeq lists it as uncharacterized. The transcript is spliced from 4 exons. NCBI's taxonomy places the organism in Eukaryota, Metazoa, Chordata, Aves, Psittaciformes, Psittacidae. The record is from RefSeq and is a predicted model, not a curated record.
UUCAAAUCUUGUGAUAGCUUGCAACAACCAGCCUUGUGUCUCCAAAAACUGCUGGCUGUCCCUGAUACAAAAGCCUGUAGAGGAACAAAACAAAGACCAUGAGGACAUCAGGAUUAAGCAAGGACCCUUGAUGCAAUCUGGAUGGUGGACAGCGUCUCAGCGUAGUUCCCUGCGGCAGCUGAAAUGUGAGCUAUCAUUGUGGUACGGCAGUUCAUGUUCCCCAAGGACUCCCGAAGCAACAUGCCUGCCUGCACCCUGAAAACACAGCGGGAGCAUUGGGAAGGGAAAGGGUGGAGUGUGGCUAGCCAGUGCCUAUGCCCACAGAGCAGCAAUAGGAGAAAACACACAAGCAAGAAGCAUGAGGAAACAUCCCCUGCCAAUCUGUUGGGGACAUAUUCUGGAAACCACUUUCACACCAGAGGCUGAAGACAGUAUUUCCAUAGCUCCUAGGUUUGCAACAGCUCCCAUCGCCACCACUCUGGUACCAGCUCUCUGCUCUUCAGAACAAGCUGUACUGGGAGCUGUACAAGGGAGGCAGAAAGGUUGCUAUUUCUGACAGUAUGACAUACGUUUUUCCACCAAUUUCAAAACGAGUGAAGCUUUAUUUCUGCCCAAGAGUAUAAACUAAUAAUUUAGUCACCCCCACUACCCCUCAAAAAUAACUCCUUGGAAAAUAAUUUUAAAUACAGCAGGUAGAGCAGUUUUGCUGAGGGGGGGAUGAGACAAAAUACAGCUAAAACAGUUAAACCUGCUGUCUAAAAUUAAGUUUAGUGAGUCUUGCCACAUAUUGCUAGAAAGCAUGUUACCUGAUGGCAUUCAUAAACAAACCAAAUUUGAGAGAUCAAAAUCACCUUCCAAGCUCGCUCUGCAUCAGGGGAGUAUGUGGAUUUUAAUAUUUCAGAAGACAGCUCUCACCAGCCUGCUUAUUUCUAAAAAGUCAAUGCAUAUUUUUAAAAAUUCACUUCACAUCUGUUCAUUGUGUACCAGCCUGGAGGCAACCACCAGCCAGAAAACUUUGAUCACCCAGCAGAAGCUAGCCGGUGGCUGAAAAUCACAAGAGGAUUGUCUCCAUUGCCUUCCUCUCAAAUGUGUUAUGAAAAUAAGAACUUCACUAAAAAAAGUUUGUAUGGAGAAAAACAUCUUGCAGUUGCAAUGCCAUCUGAAUGCUAUUAGA